RNAcentral lists this ribosomal RNA (759 nucleotides) under uncultured Corynebacterium sp. RNAcentral's name for it is "bacterial SSU rRNA". It matches the Rfam family "Bacterial small subunit ribosomal RNA", at positions 8 to 792 of the family's 1533-position model. Lineage: Bacteria; Bacillati; Actinomycetota; Actinomycetes; Mycobacteriales; Corynebacteriaceae. The record is from RNAcentral.
AGAGUUUGAUCCUGGCUCAGGACGAACGCUGGCGGCGUGCUUAACACAUGCAAGUCGAACGUAAGGCCCCAGCUUGCUGGGGUACACGAGUGGCGAACGGGUGAGUAACACGUGGGUGACUGCCCCGCACUUCGGGAUAAGCCUGGGAAACUGGGUCUAAUACCGGAUAGGACCGCACCGGAGGGUGUGGUGGAAAGUUUUUCGGUGUGGGAUGGGCCCGCGGCCUAUCAGCUUGUUGGUGGGUAAUGGCCUACCAAGGCGGCGACGGGUAGCCGGCCUGAGAGGGUGGACGGCCACAUUGGACUGAGACACGGCCCAGACUCCUACGGGAGGCAGCAGUGGGGAAUAUUGCACAAUGGGGGAAGCCUGAUGCAGCGACGCCGCGUGGGGGAUGACGGCCUUCGGGUUGUAAACUCCUUUACCAUCGACGAAGGUUUUCUGACGGUAGAUGGAGAAGAAGCACCGGCUAACUACGUGCCACAGCCGCGGUAAUACGUAGGGUGCGAGCGUUGUCCGGAAUUACUGGGCGUAAAAGAGCUCUAGGUGGUUUGUCGCGUCGUCUGUGAAAUUCCGGGGCUUAACUCCGGGCGUGCAGGCGAUCGGGCAUAACUUGAGUACUGUAGGGGAGACUGGAAUUCCUGGUGUAGCGGUGAAAUGCGCGAUAUCAGGAGGAACACCGGUGGCGAAGGCGGGUCUCUGGGCAGUAACUGACGCUGAGGACGAAAGCAUGGGUAGCGAACAGGAUUAGAUACCCUGGUA